Vespula vulgaris is the source of this 295-nucleotide long non-coding RNA. RefSeq lists it as uncharacterized. The record is from RefSeq and is a predicted model, not a curated record. The transcript has 2 exons. Lineage: Eukaryota; Metazoa; Arthropoda; Insecta; Hymenoptera; Vespidae.
GUUGAAUUUUCUACAUUUUCAUUUUUUAAUAAAUGAAAACGAAGUCCACGAUUGGCUAACAUUAUUUCUGCAACUUUCAUGGCAGUCUCAGUAUGAAGACUGCAACUACACCUGGACUUUUCAUGCCAGGAGUUCCUAUUGAAGAUGGCAUGUUCAAACCAGAACCACCAAAUAUACAGCCUGUUGUUGUUGAGCAAACUAUACUGUUUUAAUGUAAUAAAUAUAAUUUAUCAAUACUUCCAAAUUAAAAUCCAAUAUUUUUUUACUAUGAAAAAAAAUAUGGAAACUAUUUGAA